ACUCCUACGGGAGGCAGCAGUGGGGAAUAUUGCACAAUGGGCGAAAGCCUGAUGCAGCAAUGCCGCGUGUGUGAAGAAGGCCUGCGGGUUGUAAAGCACUUUUAUCGGGAAAGAAAACCAGGGCUAAUACCCUUGGUCUUGACGGUACCCGUUGAAUAAGCACCGGCUAACUCCGUGCCAGCAGCCGCGGUAAUACGGAGGGUGCAAGCGUUAAUCGGAAUUACUGGGCGUAAAGCGCAUGUAGGCGGCUUUUAAGUCUGAUGUGAAAGCCAGUGGCUCAACCACUGAAUUGCAUUGGAUACUGGAAAGCUAGAAUCUUGGAGAGGUAAGUGGAAUUUCAUGUGUAGCGGUGGAAUGCGUAGAUAUAUGAAGGAACACCAAUGGCGAAGGCAGCUUACUGGACAAGUAUUGACGCUGAGAUGCGAAAGUGUGGGUAGCAAACAGGAUUAGAUACCCUGGUGGCUCUGC
RNAcentral lists this ribosomal RNA (468 nucleotides) under uncultured bacterium. RNAcentral's name for it is "bacterial SSU rRNA". It matches the Rfam family "Bacterial small subunit ribosomal RNA", at positions 335 to 798 of the family's 1533-position model. The record is from RNAcentral.